Molecule: long non-coding RNA, 476 nt
Filed under: Sinocyclocheilus anshuiensis
Lineage: Eukaryota; Metazoa; Chordata; Actinopteri; Cypriniformes; Cyprinidae
Description: lncRNA (ENSSANG00000043649.1)
Source: RNAcentral
GAAUCUCCAUUGUGAUUUUUCGUUCUUUUAGGUAGAGACUUUAAAACAAACAUGCAGCUCAGUGGACUGACACUCAGCUGAACUUCGAUGCAUUUGGCUGGUUAACACCUGCUCAGUAGAAGAGGAAUGCCCUCUGACACCUGAUGUAACAGCUAAUCACUGAGCUCAUUCUGCGAGAUUCCCAGUCAAUGAGGUUUCCUUCGGUUGACGUUAGGAUGGAGAAUGAACGACUCCCCCACACUGCAUCAGCUAUGAAGAGAUAUGAGAGAGAGAGAGAGAGAGAGAGAGAGAGAAGGAAGCAUCUAACCAGCUGACAGCUGCAACCAAACACACACACACAUACACACUCUCUUCAUCAUGCCUGUCAACACACACUUAACAUACACCUGCACUCAUAACGCCUCACGUUCAAUCAUACUGCAUCACAAAACCACACAAUUAAAGGAAUGCUCCAGGUACAAUACAAGCUAGUGGAC